GCGGCCUCCCCCUCCGGGCUCGCAGCGGGCCCCGCCGAGCCGCGCCCGCGUCCCGGGCGCCCUGCGGAGAGCCGACCUUGCCAACACCUUGGCCCAGGCACUGGAGGCCGUGGCGAUGCCCUGUCGUGACACGAGAGGGGAAGCCCACGGGGCUGGCCUGACCCGGGAAGCCCCUGGUUGCUUGGCCCUGCCUGGUUCCUAGGCGUCCCGCUCAGUCCCUUCUGCCUCGCUCUCAUCCGCAAUCCUGCACCCGCGGUCCGGAGAGGGGCAGGUAGCCCCCGGCCCUGAGGUCCAGGUGCAACCAUUGCAAAGAUUUGCUAAAUAUUGAAGACCUACAGAGCCAUGGAUUAGAGAAGCAAGAAAAUGAUGCCAAACAGUCCUGGAAGACAAAUACUGCAAGAGCUUAUAAGUAUCUGGAUCAAGAAGGCCACACCAAUACUCUGGUUUCUCGUCAGAUAGCAUAUAUCUUUCACCUUUUAUUAAAGAAGAGCCACACCUGGCCCCAAUGUAAAGCACAGAUCCUGAACUUUGAGCCUCUGCUGCCAUGAUUGGAUGAGACUUUUUACACGUCUUGAGAGGCAGCGGGGAAGUACGUCACAUCAGGGAGCAAAGUGAAUAUUAUUUGAAAGAGACUUUGGUAGAUUGAAUGCUGUUCUCGAUUCUUCAUAUACUUCCUGUUGCAGGUCUGUUCAUCCAUGCCCUUUGCCAAGGGACUUUGUAGUAUCUCCACUAGAGUCAGCUGAGGAUAUUUCCUUGCCCCACUGAGGCUGGACCUGGCAGGAAUGUUAAUAAACAUGAUGGGGCUUUAAAUACAUGUGCAUGAUUUGGUGUGUCCCCUUCAGUCCUGUGAUGCAUCAUUUAAAACACCCCCAAAACCCAAAGAGCCAAAGAAAUCCACCAAACAGCAAAACAAAACCCUCAUACCCCCUGUAGCCUCUGAUCUCAAAAUGAAGACAUGAGGAGAAGUGAUUCUACUCGUCACCUGGUACCAGGCCCCACCUAGUCCAGCUGACACCAGCCAAACCGAACUGUAAAUAAAAUCCCCAAAUACUGAAUGUGCAAGCGACUGAGAUUUUGGGAGUUGUCAGUUAGGCAGUUAGUGUUAGUUGAAUGAUAAAAUUCACAUAAGAGAUAUAAGCAUAAAGGACUCAAACCUCGUUUUAUGUUUACACGGAGCUCAGUCGCAAUAAAUUAGAAAACAUUUUGAGUUAACAAUAAGGUUCUUUUUUUAAAGGUCUCCAAAGAUUAAUGAAGUUUUAGAAAUUCUGCCUUAGAUAGUUCUGAUUAAACCCAUUCUACAGAUGAGGAUAUUGAAGCAACUCAUCGUUGUAUAGAUGAUGAUAUGAGGUCGGUGGCUUCAGGUCAGUGGGUCUGACGAGGGCUUGCCUGACUUCAGCAUAAAGAUUUUUCUACUAUCUUCCUUGCUGCCUCUUUUUAUUAGUUUUAAAUAUUUUCCCUUUUGUUGAGGUGACUAGUACAAGUAAAAUUUGCUAAAAGAGCAUACGGAGAUUAAAAGAAAAAAAAUGUUUUCUAAAAAGAAAGAUAGAAAGGAAAAGGAUAAACUGCCAAAUGCAGAUGAUGAAACCUGGCAGAAUAACUAUAAGCAGAACUCUGAGUACCCAAACCCUGUCAGAUACUUUUACCAUCAAGGGACUGACGUACAGGCUCAUGUGUCCCUACUAUUGCAAGCAAGAGCUGCUUUCAAAAUACUUCUGGACUUGGGGCCAUCCACUAAUAAGGCUGAUACUAACAU
Molecule: long non-coding RNA, 1753 nt
Organism: Suricata suricatta (meerkat)
Lineage: Eukaryota; Metazoa; Chordata; Mammalia; Carnivora; Herpestidae
Exons: 3
Source: RefSeq, a predicted model, not a curated record